This 384-nucleotide long non-coding RNA is filed under the name Numida meleagris (helmeted guineafowl). RNAcentral's name for it is "lncRNA (ENSNMEG00000000612.1)". The record is from RNAcentral. Lineage: Eukaryota; Metazoa; Chordata; Aves; Galliformes; Numididae.
UCCCUCCCUCUCCUUGUGCAAUAUCUCAGAGAUUGAAGCAUCUGUUUAGGAUGUGGGAGAUGCACAAGCCUUGCCUGGAGGGGUUUUGACCUAAUUGUCAGCAUCAGCCCCAAAUCACUGAGAAAGCACUUACCAGCCUGGGAUGGGUAGCAGGAGGUGGUGAAAGCAAUACGUUUUUAAAAGAGAUUCUUCGGUGCUUACUUGCAUCACUUGCACAGCAAGUGUAUGCUCAGCCUGGAUCUCUCUGCGCUGCACGUGCAAAGUCUGAUCCACACAAAAGGGGAUUCCGGUUACGUUGUUACAUGUUCUGGCAGAAUUGUUGAUUUGUGAUAUUGAUCUUGAUAAAGAAAGAUUAAAUAUUUAUUUCACAUCCUUUUUCUUUUA